GUGAGGAAUAUUGGUCAAUGGGCGAGAGCCUGACGAAGCGACGCCGCGUGAACGAUGAAGGCCUUCGGGUUGUAAAGUUCUGUCGCCUUAGAACAAGAAGCGCUGGAUAACACCCAGCGACGAUGAGGGUAUAAGGAGAGGAAGCACCGGCUAAUUCCGUGCCAGCAGCUGCGGUAAUACGGAAGGUGCAAGCGUUAGUCGGAAUUACUGGGCGUAAAGCGUGCGUAGGUGGUGGUUUAAGUCCGUUGUGAAAGCCCUGGGCUCAACCUGGGAAUUGCAGUGGAUACUGGAUCACUAGAGUGUGGUAGAGGGAUGCGGAAUUUCUGGUGUAGCAGUGAAAUGCGUAGAGAUCAGAAGGAACAUCCGUGGCGAAGGCGGCAUCCUGGGCCAACACUGACACUGAGGCACGAAAGCGUGGGGAGCAAACAGGAUUAGAAACCCCAGUAGUCC
RNAcentral lists this ribosomal RNA (450 nucleotides) under uncultured bacterium. RNAcentral describes it as "partial 16S ribosomal RNA". It matches the Rfam family "Bacterial small subunit ribosomal RNA", at positions 354 to 796 of the family's 1533-position model. The record is from RNAcentral.